This 284-nucleotide unclassified non-coding RNA is filed under the name plant metagenome. RNAcentral describes it as "partial contains small subunit ribosomal RNA, internal transcribed spacer 1, and 5.8S ribosomal RNA". The stretch from base 1 to 53 matches the Rfam family "Eukaryotic small subunit ribosomal RNA", at positions 1778 to 1831 of the family's 1831-position model. The record is from RNAcentral.
GGAAGUAAAAGCGUAACAAGGUUUCCGUAGGUGAACCUGCGGAAGGAUCAUUAUUGUAUAACCGAGGUGCGAGGGCUGUCGCUGACCCGAAAGGUCGUGCACGCCCGAGUGCCCUCACACACAUCCAUCUCACCCCUAUGUGCACCACCGCGUGGGUCCCCCUUUGGCUUGUUCGGAGGGGGGCUUACGUCUUCACACAAACUUUGUAUGCAGUGUAGAAUGUAUUUUUUGUUUUUGCGAUCACGCAAUCAAUACAACUUUCAACAACGGAUCUCUUGGCUCUC